This 281-nucleotide ribosomal RNA is filed under the name uncultured bacterium. RNAcentral describes it as "partial 16S ribosomal RNA". It matches the Rfam family "Bacterial small subunit ribosomal RNA", at positions 69 to 354 of the family's 1533-position model. The record is from RNAcentral.
AGACCCGGAAGGCGCGGGCCUUAGUGGCGGACGGGUGAGUAACGCGUGGGGAACCUGCCCCGUACCGGGGGAUGACACCUGGAAACAGGUGCUAAUACCGCAUAACAGAAGGGGACGCAUGUUUCUUUCUUGAAAACUCCGGUGGUACGGGAUGGACCCGCGUCUGAUUAGCUGGUUGGCGGGGUAACGGCCCACCAAGGCGACGAUCAGUAGCCGGCCUGAGAGGGCGGACGGCCACAUUGGGACUGAGACACGGCCCAAACUCCUACGGGAGGCAGCAG